Molecule: long non-coding RNA, 3199 nt
Filed under: Homo sapiens (human)
Lineage: Eukaryota; Metazoa; Chordata; Mammalia; Primates; Hominidae
Description: non-protein coding lnc-DPH6-3:1
Source: RNAcentral
CAAAUCUACUACACUAAUCCAAAAUAUUAAUAGAGGAAACUGUGGGGAGAGGUUGGGAGGUGAUGUGGGACCUCUUGGUAUUUCCCACUCAACUUUUCUGUAAACGUAAAACUGCCCUCCCAAAAUAGUCUAUUUUUAAAAAAUAAAAGUAGUCAAAAAUCUAAAAGAAAAAAAUUAUAGUAGACAGAGAUAUAUGAUAUCACAAGUAUAGUAAAAUGUUAAUAGUGGUAGUGUAUGUGGAUGUUCCUUAUUAUACUCUGCUUUGUGUUUGACAUUUUUCAUAAUAAAUGUGUAACAAAGUCAUUGUGGGUAAUAUUAAAAGAAAGCUUAGCAUAGUAAGGUUCAGUUGAACCUGUGGGACUUAAUUCUAAUUCCAUUAUGGAUUUCUCAUAUGAUUCUACUAAAAAAUGUAACUUGAUUUAACUACUUGAAUUACUUAUCUAAAUUAUGAAACCCAGUUGGCCCUUGAAAUGCAAAUAGGAGAUCAUUUCCCCUGCCCUUAAGAAAGGUUGGAACAUGACAAACCUUGAAUCAGUCUUGGAAAGAAUCAUGUAAUUACAGGAAAGUGUGAGAAUUCCAGGCCUUACCUCAGACAGAUAAGGACUAGCUAUACAUGAAACGCAGACUGUGGCUAACUUUAAUUCUUUCCCAAAUCAGAUUUUCAUGAGACAUUUUCAGUUCUUUCAGUGAGGCAAAUGAAUUUCUUUAAUAUUUUACAUAUCCAUUGUUAAAAUUCAAUGCAAAAACAACUCUAAUGUCAAAUAUAAAUUAUUUUGUUGUUAAGUUUAAUUUUGAAUAAUCUUCUUCUCUUUUCUUUGGCAUUAGAACAAAUUGCAAUUACUGAAGUCCAAAGAAUUAUAAAGCACUAUUUAAGCAUUUACAUUAGAUAUCAAAAUUGAAGAAUACAAAGACUAGUUUAUUAAUGGAUGCAUUCCUUCUGUCUUGAUUCUUCCCUUGGGGUGGCCUGUCUGCAUGCACAGUGGCCUACUAGCACUUGAGAAGUGAGCAUGCACAGUGGGUUUACUGGAGUUGUACACAUGCUCACUUGAGGCAUUUUUCCCUUACCCGUCCAAUGUUCCUAGAGGAAGCUCAUCCACCAUUUUGCCUCUUAGUGUGCAUAGGUGAGCCCACUCAGCCAACUCCCGAGAUCUUAUGAGGAAGCUGAUAAUCACUAGUUUCAGAUAUUUCUCUCUAUUGGGAGAGUGCCUUUCCCUGGCACUGUCUGUGACCAAUUAUUAUUUUAGAGAGACAGUUAACAGCUGCCUGACCAUCACCUGAUGGUCAUCUGACAUUCCUAGUGCAGGGGGGAUGCCCUCUCCUGCCCUGCUCAUGUCUGACUAGCUACCUACUGUAGCAGCACCACAUCUGGCCAAUUUUUGUAUUUUUUGUAGAGACAGAGUUUCAUCAUGUUGCCCAGGCUGGUCUUGAACUCCUGGACUCAAGUGAUCUGCCUGCCUUAGCCUCCCAAAGUGCUGGGAUUACAGGCAUGAGCCACCUCACCUGGCCUGAGAUGUUUGUGGGGGUUUUGCUUUUGUUUUUGUAAAUUAGAAACAGGGUCUCUCUAUGUUGGCAAGGCUGGUCUUGAACUUCUGGGCUCAAUCAAUCCUCCCACCUCAGCCUCCCGAAGUGUUGGGAUUACAGGCAUGAGCCAUUGCAGCCAGCCUGAAUUCUAAUUCUAAUUGGUAAAAAUUAGGACUGUGCCCUUGCCAUUCCCUUCUUUUAAACUUGUAAUUCAAUUACUUGGCAUGACUGGUCCUUAUAUUAUAAAAUAUACUAAAUCAAAAAUCAUCAUAAUAAAAGCAGCUCCUUGAGCAACUGGACAAAAAAAGCAGCUGGGCAUAAACACUAGUAAAGUUUAAACAAUUGUAUUUGGCAAGUAUUCCCCAACGUAUAAACAAUUACCACUAAAAAAAAUCUGGGUGAAUUCAUACUGAUGAUCAUCUCUCUAACAGUGUUUUCUAACAUCUAAGUACUACUUUUAGCCCUAGAAAAGGAUUUUAAUGUUUAGAAAAGAACAUUUUAAUAAAGCCUUGCUAAUAUUGACAUAUAUAGGCAUCUUAACUUGAUUGAAAUUCUGUCUUCCCAAAGAUGGUUCUAUUUUAACAUUGUAUAUGAAGGAAGAAAUCCUAGCCUAAUAAUUUGAAAUUAUGUUUUUUAUAACAGAAUUCAUUUGCUUUUAUUUUAACAUCAUAAUAAGUGUAUCACUUUGAUCCUUACACAGUAUCUUUUAUCUGUUGUGUAACAAUCAUGCUACUGAAUGUUAGAUAUUACAUGACAUAUGAAGGAAGUUUAACUUGAGCAGUUACUGAGUUCAUCCAGACUUGAAGCCUCUGUUUGUCAAGAAGUUAAUAUUUUUAAAGAUACACUGACUUUAUAAUCUGUAAUUAUUUUCUUAUCAAUUACAUUUUUAUAGUUUUCUGAUUAGCUGGCACUUGGAGCUUAGUGUUACCGUUUAGCUCUGCAGGGUCCUUUUAGACACUAUUAUUGUAAAGAAACAUCAAAAAUCAAAGUGAAUUCUUAGUAUUAUACUUGAAGCAGUAGAGGCGCAAUUGCUGAAACAGCAGCCAAGCAUUGUGCUGUAGAACUAACUCACAGCUUGGUGCCCAGUCCCUGCUGUGCUAAUGAGCUUUAACCUGUUUCAUUCUUACUAUGCUUACUGUUUAGAUACUUUGCUUGCAAAAUUAAUUUUUUAGCUGAGAGAACACAUGAAAGAGGAUAUUUUUUUUUUUUACUAAAAAGCAGAGUUUUUUUUUAUAACUGACAAGAGAAUCUGAGGGCAAGAAUAGUGAACACAGGGAGGAUGGCUGCUAUAUUUAGUGCCUGCGUUUACAUAUGUUGGCACCAAAUGAAUACCUUAACUAAAACAAAGUGAAAAGUUUGCUGAAGCUUCCAGAGGGAGGCAAAGGAGAAAGAAUGUUUAGGUGCUUGCUGGCACUAACACAAAUGUAAACACAGGCAUGAGUAAUGUGACAAUGCCCAAAUAUAAGGCAAUCAUCGAGACACAUCUGUAAAUACUACAAAAUGUUAUUAUUAUUUUAACUCUGAGAUGGGAAAUAGUCCUAUCCCCAUUUUACAAAUGAGAAAAUUGAAAAGUUAAGUGACUGCCCUAAGAGCUCAAAGCCAAUUGGUGGUGGAACCAUAUUUUAAGCCUCAGUUGUCUGGCUAGUAUCAGUGCCCUUAAUCAGUGGGAGUAGUAACU